Molecule: long non-coding RNA, 1822 nt
Filed under: Calidris pugnax (ruff)
Lineage: Eukaryota; Metazoa; Chordata; Aves; Charadriiformes; Scolopacidae
Description: lncRNA (ENSCPUG00000005131.1)
Source: RNAcentral
CUGAAGGUGCUGGAUGUUUGAGUUGCCCCCCCUUCCCCCCCCGAAGUGGUGGAACACGCAGGAGAUGUCCAUGAGGUGGAGAAGGAACCCACCCAGCGCUGCUUGGUUUGUCUGUCCGCACUAGGGGGUUUUCCUAAUUGCUUUUACUCAACCAUUUAAAGUUUGGCUAACGAUGUCAGUCUAGUCUCUCUGUACCUUCCCCGGGGAGCCCUGUGUCUGGCAGCGAGGUGAGAAACUCACACAUGGCAGACCCAGAUCCACUCUUUGUGCUGCCCUGAGGCCCGGGGGUAGCUCUAGGGUGGGGAGGGGGCAAGUCCUGGCCCCCCCAGGAGCUGUAGGUUUGUGCCUCGUGGAUGCAGCACCCCAGGUCUCGUCCUCAGCGUGCCACCAGCUUGGGUAGCAAAGACCACUGCUGGGUGAACAUCAGCUCCUUUCCUAUUGCUCUGCUCCUCAGAGGAAGGGAGCAAUGAGCCUUUUUUCACAACAGGAGUCCCUCUGUGCCUCCCCCGUGUCUCGCCGUGUUCUCUUUUCACACUUUGGGCACAAAGUCAGCUCUCUCCCGUGGUCUGAUGAGCCCCAGGGGCAGCAGAGGACACCGGCCACCUCCGGGCUCUGUCGGAGGUGGAGAAUGCUGGUUCUGGCUGCCACCCAGGAUUGUUUUAAACAGGGACUUCAAUACCAUAUUUAACACUUAAAUUUGUAGCUUGUAGUUCGGGCGAAAGGUGUGCUGGGCAAGGGCUUACCUACCCCAACCUCUGGAGAAACAGGAAUAUGAUUCUCCUAAAAACAAAAUAACCUUUUUUGUAGGUAGUGCUGUUUCCUUCUCUUUGCUCAGCUCCCCUGCGACAGGGAUGAGAGAGGGAAGGAGACAUGGAGCUCAAAAUAAAAAGGAAGGGACCCGGAGUCAGCUUCCAGCAGCCUGUGUGGGGAGUGUCACCGGGAUAACGGGGCUGUAGGUCAGUUGUUGGGCUCUGGGGCAGGGAAUUUGAGGUGAGGGGUCUGUGCUUGGGGGUUGCUGCACUGGGAGCAAAGUCUUUGCUCUAUGUGUCCUCUGUGCAGGGCACUAAAACUUGGGUGGAUUUAGUGGGCUCCGUAAUCCCAGUGCUCUGCUCCCUGCCAGCAGCAGCCCUGAGAAGCUUGAAACCUUCAAGCUUAAGCCUUCAAACGUUCCCAUCUGUCUGUGUUCCUCAGCCCAGCCUCAGACCAGGCUUUGGGCUGCUGCUCUGGCACAGGCUGGUGUUUAGUCCCAUUGGGCAGAUGGUGUUGGCUGCCAUGGGCUGGAAAUGGCAACUUGUGUGGUUAAUUCUGUGGGCGGGUGAGAAGAGAGGCAGGAGAUGGGAAGGUUACUGGAGCUCCCAAAGGUGCAGGAGGACUUUGGGAGCUGGUGGCUAGAUGUGGGAGGAUGGUGGACCACCACCAAUGGACUCCAGUUUCAUGUGCUGAUUCUACUGAUGUGAUAACACAGGGCUGAAAGAAAUCUAAUAUAAAGUGGAACCUGUGCAGAAUAUUUUAUGGUUUGGUAGUCUGAAUCUGGACCUCCAACCUUGGCUAAAAGAGAUGGCACUCUCCCAGCGUUUCUGCAGGGAGGUUUAUUUGUAGGCAAGCUCAGGGGUGGUGUAAGGAAGAGAUACGGCUUCUAGUGCUUGAUUUCCUGGGGAAAUCAGGAGCAGAACUGGGUGUGGAUGCGGCUGGAACAGGGUCUGGACCUGUCACACUCUCACUAUCUGCAAUAGCUGCCAUAUUUAUUUGAGAGGAAUAUGACAGUGGAUGAGUGUUGGCUUCCUUCCACCUGUAAAAUAAGGGCUGUUGUAGACUGCCAGAA